GCUUGCUUCGGCCGCACAGAUACCAACAUUGGAAUGAUACAGAGAAGAUGAGCAGGGCCCCUGUGCAAGGAAGACAAGCAAAUUCGUGAAGCGUUCCAUAUUUUU
Small nuclear RNA from Leptonychotes weddellii (Weddell seal), 105 nucleotides. NCBI's taxonomy places the organism in Eukaryota, Metazoa, Chordata, Mammalia, Carnivora, Phocidae. The record is from RefSeq and is a predicted model, not a curated record.